Molecule: long non-coding RNA, 1009 nt
Organism: Octopus sinensis (East Asian common octopus)
Lineage: Eukaryota; Metazoa; Mollusca; Cephalopoda; Octopoda; Octopodidae
Exons: 2
Source: RefSeq, a predicted model, not a curated record
UUAUAACAACAAUUUCCUUACAAUGUCUUUCGCUUAAACAUUCAAAAACCAGAACAAAAAGCAGAUCCGAGAGACGAAAUCAGGCAGAAAUCCGAGCAGUAACCACAGAUAUAUAUAUAUAUUAUACACGCAUACAAACGUGUAUAUAUUAGAAUAUAUUACAUACAUAUAUAUAUAUAUAUGUGCAUGUAUAGAUAGAUAGAUACAUACAUAUAAACAUUUGAGAGAUAGAUAAGAGUGAGCUAGGUUGAUACACCUGGCUGUGUAUAUAUCAACUCAUUACUUCUGUCAUCUGCAUCAGAAACAAACGCUAAAGUUAUACAAACUCGAUUUCUUCAUUAAACCCAAGAUCCACCGUUUGUGAUCAUGCCUAGAAUUACGGUAUUAACACUACUUUCGAUAACGUCCUCAAUGCUAGUAUUUUACUGCCUUGCAUCGGAGUUGAAGCCCGAACAGAUCAACCGACCACAAUCUAUUGCAGCUCCUCGCACAGAGCGAGACACAACCAGAGCAUCGAAAGAUGUUCUGGCUAAUAUCUUAUUAAACAUCCUACGAGAAAGGAGUAUGGCAAAUGGAUAUAUAAACUAUCCAUCGGCUUCCAAUUUGGACAACCAGCUUGAUUCAUCGCCUCAGCUACAGAAGAAGAAUACAUAUUAUGGUUAUCGUCGAAGCAAUGGACGUGUGCCAUCGUUCGGAAGUAAGAUUUUCCCUUCUUCAUCAGAAGAAGAUAGCGGUCCUUCAGUUUUUAGAUAUGGUUAAUUUUAAAAAAACAACAACAACAAAAUGGAACUAUACACUGACACGCCUAAUUUUAACUACAACUGUAGAAAUUACAACUUCAACAACAACAACAACAACAACAACAACAUCAUCAGCAGCAGCAGCAAUAAUAUUAACAAGGACAACAUCAACAACAGCAGCAGCAGAAAUAAGCAGAAGCAACAUCAAUUUAAAUUACAAAUAAUUUAGUAAAAUACGAAAUAAAGUUAUUCAGAAACCAUGAAAAAAA